This 914-nucleotide ribosomal RNA is filed under the name Resinicium mutabile. Its description in RNAcentral is "LSU rRNA". It matches the Rfam family "Eukaryotic large subunit ribosomal RNA", at positions 37 to 960 of the family's 3401-position model. The record is from RNAcentral. Lineage: Eukaryota; Fungi; Basidiomycota; Agaricomycetes; Hymenochaetales.
AGCAUAUCAAUAAGCGGAGGAAAAGAAACUAACAAGGAUUCCCCCUAGUAACUGCGAGUGAAGCGGGAAAAGCUCAAAUUUAAAAUCUGGCAGCCUUGGCUGUCCGAGUUGUAAUCUGGAGAAGCAUUUUCGGUGCAGGACCGUGUACAAGUCUCUUGGAAUGGAGCAUCAUAGAGGGUGAGAAUCCCGUCUUUGACAUGGACUACCUGUGCUUUGUGAUAUGCUCUCAAAGAGUCGAGUUGUUUGGGAAUGCAGCUCAAAAUGGGUGGUAAAUUCCAUCUAAAGCUAAAUAUUGGCGAGAGACCGAUAGCGAACAAGUACCGUGAGGGAAAGAUGAAAAGCACUUUGGAAAGAGAGUUAAACAGUACGUGAAAUUGUUGAAAGGGAAACGCUUGAAGUCAGCCGCGUUGGCUAGGAUUCAGCUGGGCUUCUUAGCCUAGUGUACUUCCUUGUUAACGGGUCAACAUCAAUUUCAGUCAGUGGAUAAGGGUAAGGGGAAUGUGGCACCUCCGGGUGUGUUAUAGCCUCUUACCGUAUACACUUACUGGGAUUGAGGUCUGCAGCAACUUGUUGCUUAGGAUGUUGGCAUAAUGGCUUUAAGCGACCCGUCUUGAAACACGGACCAAGGAGUCUAACAUGCCCGCGAGUGUUAGGGUGGAAAACCCUUGCGCGUAAUGAAAGUGAAAGUUGGGACCUCUGUCAUGGGGGGCACCGACGCCCGGUCCUGAACUUCUGUGACGGUACUGCGGUAGAGCGUGUAUGUUGGGACCCGAAAGAUGGUGAACUAUGCCUGAAUAGGGUGAAGCCAGAGGAAACUCUGGUGGAGGCUCGUAGCGAUUCUGACGUGCAAAUCGAUCGUCAAAUUUGGGUAUAGGGGCGAAAGACUAAUCGAACCAUCUAGUAGCUGGGUCUGC